AGAUUGAACGCUGGCGGCAGGCCUAACACAUGCAAGUCGAGCGGUAGAGAGGUGCUUGCAUCUCUUGAGAGCGGCGGACGGGUGAGUAAUGCCUAGGAAUCUGCCUAGUGGUGGGGGAUAACGUUCGGAAACGGACGCUAAUACCGCAUACGUCCUACGGGAGAAAGCGGGGGACCUUCGGGCCUCGCGCCAUUAGAUGAGCCUAGGUCGGAUUAGCUAGUUGGUGAGGUAAUGGCUCACCAAGGCGACGAUCCGUAACUGGUCUGAGAGGAUGAUCAGUCACACUGGAACUGAGACACGGUCCAGACUCCUACGGGAGGCAGCAGUGGGGAAUAUUGGACAAUGGGCGAAAGCCUGAUCCAGCCAUGCCGCGUGUGUGAAGAAGGUCUUCGGAUUGUAAAGCAUUAAGUUGGAGGAAGGUUGUAACCUAAUACGUUGCAACUUUGACGUUACCGACUAGAAUAAGCACCGGCUAACUCGUGCCAG
This 486-nucleotide ribosomal RNA is filed under the name uncultured soil bacterium. RNAcentral's name for it is "bacterial SSU rRNA". It matches the Rfam family "Bacterial small subunit ribosomal RNA", at positions 26 to 511 of the family's 1533-position model. The record is from RNAcentral.